AGAGUUUGAUCCUGGCUCAGGACGAACGCUGGCGGCGUGCCUAAUACAUGCAAGUCGAGCGGACUUGUUAGAAGCUUGCUUCUAACAAGUUAGCGGCGGACGGGUGAGUAACACGUGGGUAACCUGCCUGUAAGAUGGGGAUAACUCCGGGAAACCGGAGCUAAUACCGAAUAACACUUUCGCUCGCAUGAGCGGAUGUUAAAAGACGGUUUCGGCUGUCACUUACAGAUGGACCCGCGGCGCAUUAGCUAGUUGGUGAGGUAACGGCUCACCAAGGCGACGAUGCGUAGCCGACCUGAGAGGGUGAUCGGCCACACUGGGACUGAGACACGGCCCAGACUCCUACGGGAGGCAGCAGUAGGGAAUCUUCCGCAAUGGACGAAAGUCUGACGGAGCAACGCCGCGUGAGUGAUGAAGGUUUUCGGAUCGUAAAACUCUGUUGUUAGGGAAGAACAAGUACGAGAGUAACUGCUCGUACCUUGACGGUACCUAACCAGAAAGCCACGGCUAACUACGUGCCAGCAGCCGCGGUAAUACGUAGGUGGCAAGCGUUGUCCGGAAUUAUUGGGCGUAAAGCGCGCGCAGGCGGUUCCUUAAGUCUGAUGUGAAAGCCCACGGCUCAACCGUGGAGGGUCAUUGGAAACUGGGGAACUUGAGUGCAGAAGAGGAAAGCGGAAUUCCACGUGUAGCGGUGAAAUGCGUAGAGAUGUGGAGGAACACCAGUGGCGAAGGCGGCUUUCUGGUCUGUAACUGACGCUGAGGCGCGAAAGCGUGGGGAGCAAACAGGAUUAGAUACCCUGGUAGUCCACGCCGUAAACGAUGAGUGCUAAGUGUUAGAGGGUUUCCGCCCUUUAGUGCUGCAGCUAACGCAUUAAGCACUCCGCCUGGGGAGUACGGCCGCAAGGCUGAAACUCAAAUGAAUUGACGG
RNAcentral lists this ribosomal RNA (928 nucleotides) under uncultured Bacillus sp. RNAcentral's name for it is "bacterial SSU rRNA". It matches the Rfam family "Bacterial small subunit ribosomal RNA", at positions 8 to 916 of the family's 1533-position model. The record is from RNAcentral. Lineage: Bacteria; Bacillati; Bacillota; Bacilli; Caryophanales; Bacillaceae.